ACCAGGUCUUGACAUCCCGUUGACCACUGUAGAGAUAUAGUUUCCCCUUCGGGGGCAACGGUGACAGGUGGUGCAUGGUUGUCGUCAGCUCGUGUCGUGAGAUGUUGGGUUAAGUCCCGCAACGAGCGCAACCCUUGAUCUUAGUUGCCAUCAUUUAGUUGGGCACUCUAAGGUGACUGCCGGUGACAAACCGGAGGAAGGUGGGGAUGACGUCAAAUCAUCAUGCCCCUUAUGACCUGGGCUACACACGUGCUACAAUGGACGAUACAAACGGUUGCCAACUCGCGAGAGGGAGCUAAUCCGAUAAAGUCGUUCUCAGUUCGGAUUGUAGGCUGCAACUCGCCUACAUGAAGCCGGAAUCGCUAGUAAUCGCGGAUCAGCAUGCG
RNAcentral lists this ribosomal RNA (386 nucleotides) under Lysinibacillus sp. enrichment culture. RNAcentral describes it as "bacterial SSU rRNA". It matches the Rfam family "Bacterial small subunit ribosomal RNA", at positions 973 to 1358 of the family's 1533-position model. The record is from RNAcentral. Lineage: Bacteria; Bacillati; Bacillota; Bacilli; Caryophanales; Bacillaceae.